This 466-nucleotide ribosomal RNA is filed under the name Gobiusculus flavescens. Its description in RNAcentral is "partial 12S ribosomal RNA". It matches the Rfam family "Bacterial small subunit ribosomal RNA", at positions 868 to 1527 of the family's 1533-position model. Lineage: Eukaryota; Metazoa; Chordata; Actinopteri; Gobiiformes; Gobiidae. The record is from RNAcentral.
CUUGCCAGGGGACUACGAGCCCCAGCUUAAAACCCAAAGGACUUGGCGGUGCUUUAGACCCCCCUAGAGGAGCCUGUUCUAGAACCGAUAACCCCCGUUUAACCUCACCCUCUCUUGUUUUCCCCGCCUAUAUACCGCCGUCGUCAGCUUACCCUGUGAAGGACUAAUAGUGAGCGUAAUUGGUACAACCCAAAACGUCAGGUCGAGGUGUAGCGUAUGAGAGGGGAAGAAAUGGGCUACAUUCACUGAGUCAGUGAAAACGAACGAUGCCUUGAAACACUUAUCUGAAGGAGGAUUUAGCAGUAAGAGGGCAGUAGAGCGCCCCUCUGAAACCGGCCCUGAAGCGCGCACACACCGCCCGUCACUCUCCCCAAGUGCCAGAAAAUAACUAAAUAAAUAGAAAAAUAAACAAAGGGGAGGCAAGUCGUAACAUGGUAAGUGUACCGGAAGGUGCACUUGGACAAAC